AUGUCAUUCUUACAGAAGUCAAGUUCCAAAGGAAAUGAGCAGCUUACAGGCCGGACAGUGAAGGUUCACUGCUCCUACGGGGCUUUCUACAAGGAUUUAUCAGAGAUGUUCAUGAAGACUUCCUCACCGCUGUUUUUAAAAAUAAUUGGCAACCAGGGCAUCAAUUUCCACUUAAUGAAGUUAGAGUGCCACCAGCACCUGAUAUAAAGAGAGAAAUUAGUGAAGGACAUGAAGUAGAGGCAUAUUCUAGAGCAAAUGACCAAGAACCAUGUGGAUGGUGGUUGGCCAAAGUUCGCGUGAUGUAAGGAGAGUUUCAUGUGAUUGAGUGUGCUGCUUGUGAUGCCACUUACAAUGAAAUAGUAACAUUUGAAAGACUUCGGCCUGCCAAUCAAAAUAAAACUGUCAAAAAAAAUACUUUCUUUAAAUGCACGGUGGAUGUUCCUGAGGAUUUGAGAGAGGCGUGUGCUGAUGAAAACGGACAUAAAGAUCUUAAGAAAGCAGUAGGAGCAUGCAGAACUUUUUAGCACCCAGAGACUACACAGCUAGUGAUACUGUCUGCCAGUGAAGCAACUGUGAAGAGAGUAAAUAUUUUAAGUGACAUGCAUUUGCGAAGUAUUCGUGCAAAACUGAGGCUCAUGUCCAGAAAUGAAGAAGCCACUAAACAUUUAGAAUGCGCAAAACAGCUUGCAGCGGCUUGUCAUAAGGAGUUUGUUGUGAGAGAAGAUUUAAUGGGCCUGGCAAUAGGAACACAUGGUAGUAACAUACGGAAAGCUAGGAAGUUUCCUGGUGUUACUGCCAUUGAGCUAGAUGAAGAUACUGGAACCUUUAGAGUCUAUGGAGAGAGUGCUGAUGCUGUGAAAAAAGUUAGAGGUUUCUUGGAAUUUGUGGAGGACUUUAUUCAGGUUCCUAGAAAUCUUGUUGGAAAAGUAAUUGGGAAAAAUGGCAGUUAUUCAAGAAAUUAUGGACAAAUCUGGUGUGGUUCGGGUGAGAAGUGAAGGCGACAAUGAAAACAAACUACCUGGAGGAGAUGGGAUGGUUCCAUUUGUGUUUGUUGGCACUAAAGAGAGCAUCGGAAAUGUGCCGGUUCUUUUAGAGUAUCAUGUUGCAUGUCUAAAGGAAGUAGAGCAGUUAAGAAUGGAACGCCUACAGAUUGACGAACAGCUGCGUCAGAUUGGUUCUAGGUCUUACGGUGGAAGAGGCAGAGGUUGUUGGGGCCCUAAUUACACCUCCUGUUAUGGUACAAAUUCUGAGCUGUCUAACCCCUCUGAAACAGAAUCUGAACGUAAAGACGAGCUGAGUGAUUGGUCAUUGGCAGGAGAAUAUGAUGGAGAGAACCGACAUCAGCGUGACAGCAGAAGACGCCCAGGAGGAAGAGGCAGAAAUGUUUCAGGGGGUCGAGGUCGUGGUGGACCACAUGGUGACAAAUCCUCCAUCAGUUAUGUGCGCAAAGAUGCAGACAGCAAUCCAUACAGCUUAGUUGAUAAUACGGAAUCAGAUCCGACUGCAGACACUGAUGCCAGCGAAUCUCCUCACAGUACUGACCGUCGUAGGGGGUCUCAUAGACGAAGGCCUGAUGAAGAUGCUGUUCUGAUGGAUGGGAUGACUGAAUCUGAUACAGCUUCAGGUACGGAAAAUGGGCUAGUCUCAGAGCAGACAAAGAAAUCUCCCAAGGAAACUUUGGCUAAAAAUAAGAAAGAAAUGGCAAAAGAUGUGAUUGACGAGCACGGUCCUUCAGAAAAAGGCAAUAAAUGGCCCAACUAGUGCUUCUGCAUGAAAUUCCUAAGCUACAGCAUACUCCCGGAGAAGAAAAGAUUAAUUCCUUAAAAGAAGAAAACACUCAAGAAGCAGCAGCCCUGAAUGGUGUUUCCUAAACUGAAGAAGUUCCUAGUUUACAGUUCUUUUCCGUUACAUUUACAAUAGUGCUUGUACGGGCUUGCCAAAG
Molecule: RNA transcript, 1942 nt
Organism: Ochotona princeps (American pika)
Lineage: Eukaryota; Metazoa; Chordata; Mammalia; Lagomorpha; Ochotonidae
Gene name: RNA-binding protein FXR1-like
Exons: 2
Source: RefSeq, a predicted model, not a curated record